GUCCCCCAUGAACAUCGACAGAAAUAUCACUCAUCUGCAGUACUGCGUGUGCAUCGACGACUGCUCCUCCAGCAACUGCAUGUGCGGCCAGCUCAGCAUGCGCUGCUGGUACGACAAGGUGAGGGCGGCCUCGUGUGCGUGGGCUCAGGUGGUAAGUGCCGCUGGUCCGGGCCUGCAAACACAGUGCAGGCAUCUGGGACCCCAGCGCUGUCGUGGCAGCGUCGGGAAGGAGUUGGAGGUGAGCUGGGUGUGACAGGCAGGGGAGGCACAGCGGGCACCAGCACCCGAGUCGGGGUCGCGAGCCGAGGACGUGGCUGCGGAGUCCCUGGGGCUGGGGUCUGCAUCCUUCGUGGCUGCCUGGAUGGUGGCGGGGGUGGGCAGCGUCAGCCUGGCUUGGCCCCAGGAGGAGGUGCUGCUUGUGUUGUGUGUAUCUGGUA
This 437-nucleotide small RNA is filed under the name Pan troglodytes (chimpanzee). RNAcentral's name for it is "retained intron". Lineage: Eukaryota; Metazoa; Chordata; Mammalia; Primates; Hominidae. The record is from RNAcentral.